UAUUGGACAAUGGGCCCAAGCCUGAUCCAGCCAUGCCGCGUGGAUGAUGAAGGCCCUAGGGUUGUAAAGUCCUUUCGGCGGGGAAGAUAAUGACGAUACCCGCAGAAGAAGCCCCGGCUAACUUCGUGCCAGCAGCCGCGGUAAUACGAAGGGGGCUAGCGUUGCUCGGAAUCACUGGGCGUAAAGCGCACGUAGGCGGCUUUUUAAGUCAGGGGUGAAAUCCUGGAGCUCAACUCCAGAACUGCCUUUGAUACUGAGAAGCUUGAGUCCGGGAGAGGUGAGUGGAACUGCGAGUGUAGAGGUGAAAUUCGUAGAUAUUCGCAAGAACACCAGUGGCGAAGGCGGCUCACUGGCCCGGUACUGACGCUGAGGUGCGAAA
Molecule: ribosomal RNA, 379 nt
Filed under: uncultured bacterium
Lineage: Bacteria
Description: bacterial SSU rRNA
Rfam family: Bacterial small subunit ribosomal RNA
Source: RNAcentral